RNAcentral lists this ribosomal RNA (305 nucleotides) under uncultured bacterium. RNAcentral describes it as "bacterial SSU rRNA". It matches the Rfam family "Bacterial small subunit ribosomal RNA", at positions 335 to 637 of the family's 1533-position model. The record is from RNAcentral.
UACCUACGGGAGGCAGCAGUGAGGAAUAUUGGUCAAUGGGCUUACGCCUGAACCAGCCAAGUCGCGUGAGGGAAGACUGCCCUAUGGGUUGUAAACCUCUUUUGUCAGGGAGCAACGCCGGCUACGUGUAGCCGGACUGAGAGUACCUGAAGAAAAAGCAUCGGCUAACUACGUGCCAGCAGCCGCGGUAAUACGUAGGUGGCGAGCGUUAUCCGGAUUUACUGGGUGUAAAGGGCGUGUAGGCGGGGAAGCAAGUCAGAUGUGAAAACCACGGGCUCAACCUGUGGGCUGCAUUGGAAACUGUU